RNAcentral lists this ribosomal RNA (253 nucleotides) under uncultured Coprococcus sp. RNAcentral describes it as "partial 16S ribosomal RNA". It matches the Rfam family "Bacterial small subunit ribosomal RNA", at positions 524 to 776 of the family's 1533-position model. Lineage: Bacteria; Bacillati; Bacillota; Clostridia; Lachnospirales; Lachnospiraceae. The record is from RNAcentral.
UACGGAGGAUUCAAGCGUUAUCCGGAUUUACUGGGUGUAAAGGGAGCGUAGGCGGUGCAGCAAGUCAGAAGUGAAAGCCCGGGGCUCAACUCCGGGACUGCUUUUGAAACUGUUGGACUAGAUUGCAGGAGAGGUAAGUGGAAUUCCUAGUGUAGCGGUGAAAUGCGUAGAUAUCAGGAGGAAUACCGUUAGCGAAGGCGGCAAUCUGGCUGGAAACUGACGCUGAGGUGCGAAAGCGUGGGUAGCAAACAGG